GAGGGUAUAGCUCAAGUGGUAGAGCGCGUGCUUAGCAUGCAUGAGGUCCUGGGUUCAAUCUCCAGUACCGCCU
This 73-nucleotide transfer RNA is filed under the name Camelus bactrianus (Bactrian camel). It matches the Rfam family "tRNA". From Rfam's summary of the family: Transfer RNA (tRNA) molecules are approximately 80 nucleotides in length. Their secondary structure includes four short double-helical elements and three loops (D, anti-codon, and T loops). Lineage: Eukaryota; Metazoa; Chordata; Mammalia; Artiodactyla; Camelidae. RNAcentral also lists the same sequence under 2 other names. The record is from Rfam by way of RNAcentral.